Molecule: ribosomal RNA, 463 nt
Filed under: uncultured bacterium
Lineage: Bacteria
Description: partial 16S ribosomal RNA
Rfam family: Bacterial small subunit ribosomal RNA
Source: RNAcentral
CUACGGGCCGCACCAGUAGGAAAUUUUCGACAAUGGGGGGAACCCUGAUCGAGCAAUGCCGCGUGAAUGAAGAAGGUCUUCGGACUGUAAAGUUCUUUUAUUGGAGAAGAAUGGUCACAUCAGGAAAUGGGAGUGAUUUGACGGUAUCCAUUGAAUAAGCCCCGGCUAACUACGUGCCAGCAGCCGCGGUAAUACGUAGGGGGCGAGCGUUUUCCGGAAUUAUUGGGCGUAAAGCGUGCGUAGGCGGUUUGUUAAGUCACUUGUAAAAGAUCUCAGCCCAACUGAGUAGGGCGAGUGAAACUGGCAGACUUGAAUACGGUAGAGGUAAGCGGAAUUCCAUGUGUAGCGGUGGAAUGCGUAGAUAUAUGGAGGAACACCAAUGGCGAAGGCAGCUUACUGGGCCGGAAUUGACGCUGAGGCACGAAAGCGUGGGGAGCAAACAGGAUUAGAUACCCGCGUAGUC